AGCAGUGGAGAUGCCUUCUCUGGACUGAUGAAUUACGCUUUUCCAUCUGGCAACCUGAUGGACCAGUCUGGGUUUGGAGGUCGCCAGGAGAACGCUACAUUUCGGACUGCAGUGUGCCGAGUGUGAAAUUUGGUGGAGAAGGAAUUAUGAUGUGGGGUUGUUUUUCAGGAGUUGGGCUUGGCCUCUUAAUUCCAGUGAAAGGAACUUUGAAUGCUCCAGGAUACCAAAACAUUUUGGACAAUUCCAUGCUCCCAACCUUGUGGGAACAGUUUGGAGCGGGCCCCUUCCUCUUCCAACACGACUUGUGCACCAGUGCACAAAGCAAGGGCCAUAAAGACAUGGAUGACAAGAGUCUGGUGUGGAUGAACUUGACUGGCCUGCACAGAGUCCUGACCUGAACCCAAUAGAACACCUUUGGGACUGCGAGCCAGGCCUUCUCCACCAACAUCAGUGUGUGACCUCAUCAAUGCGCUUUUGGAAGAAUGGUGGAAAAUUCCUAUAAACACACUCCGCAACCUUGUGGACAGCCUUCCCAGAAGAGUUGAAGCUGUAAUAGCUGCCACGACAUAUUGAACCCUAUGGGUUAGGAAUGGGAUGGCACUUCAAGUUCAUUUGUGAGUCAAGGCAGGUGGCCAAAUACUUUUGGCAAUAUAGUGCAUGUACUGCAGUCUCUCCUGCACCUCGGAUAGACAGUUCAAUGUUUUUUUUUCUUCCCAGGGACACAGCUUCACCCCUUUUGCCUUUUAUUUGACUUUACUUUUCCAUAAAAUAAAUGAAAAGACCACCCUCCACCGCCCUGUCCCUUUGUUGUCCUUUUAUUGGAUGUGGCGGUUUCAGCCAGAGAGUUCUUGUGGUCUGCAUGCGAGCGUCACUGCGUUGAUUAAUUCCCCAUGUAAACACCUCGUCUGAGGCGCGCUUUUCUUGUUUCUUUGCAAUUCUUUGGGAACACAUUUGAUGUACGGUAUUUAUAUUUGGAUUUCAUCUAUGCAACAUAUGUUUGUGUCUCCCUUGUGUAAGUGUAGCAAAAAAAAACAAAAAACAGAUUGGUUGGCUUUUUGCCAGGUGGCAGUUAGUUCUCCGUUUGUGGGAAGCAAAUUUGUUGCAAAUAAAAUCUAACUAAGAAGUUUCUUUGGGUGAUAUUGAUAUAGACAUAUUUUUUUUAACAAUAGUUGGCAAGUAUGAUUUAAUGGCAGCAACACAUUGCAAAAAAGUUGUCACAGGGGCAUUUUUACCACUGUGUUACAUGGCC
Molecule: long non-coding RNA, 1249 nt
Organism: Nerophis lumbriciformis (worm pipefish)
Lineage: Eukaryota; Metazoa; Chordata; Actinopteri; Syngnathiformes; Syngnathidae
Source: RefSeq, a predicted model, not a curated record